Molecule: ribosomal RNA, 652 nt
Filed under: uncultured bacterium
Lineage: Bacteria
Description: bacterial SSU rRNA
Rfam family: Bacterial small subunit ribosomal RNA
Source: RNAcentral
GUCUAGGGGGUGUAGCAAUACAUCACCGGCGGACGGGUGCGUAACGCGUGGGAAUAUACCUAUUGGUUCGGAACAACUGAGGGAAACUUCAGCUAAUACCGAAUGUGCCCUUACGGGGAAAGAUUUAUCGCCAAUGGAUUAGCCCGCGUCCGAUUAGCUAGUUGGUGGGGUAACGGCUCACCAAGGCUCCGAUCGGUAGCUGUUCUGAGAGGAAGAUCAGCCACACUGGGACUGAGACACGGCCCAGACUCCUACGGGAGGCAGCAGUUGGGAAUCUUGGACAAUGGGGGAAACCCUGAUCCAGCCAUGCCGCGUGAGUGAUGAAGGCCUUCGGGUUGUAAAACUCUUUCGACGGGGACGAUAAUGACGGUACCCGUAGAAGAAGCUCCGGCUAACUUCGUGCCAGCAGCCGCGGUAAUACGAAGGGGGCUAGCGUUGUUCGGAAUUACUGGGCGUAAAGCGCGCGCAGGCGGUCUUUCAAGUCAGUGGUGAAAGCCCGGAGCUUAACUCCGGAAUUGCCAUUGAAACUGUGAGACUUGAGGAUGAGAGAGGUGAGUGGAAUUCCCAGUGUAGAGGUGAAAUUCGUAGAUAUUGGGAAGAACACCGGUGGCGAAGGCGGCUCACUGGCUCAUUUCUGACGCUCAGGCGCGAC